Molecule: unclassified non-coding RNA, 150 nt
Filed under: soil metagenome
Description: partial internal transcribed spacer 1
Source: RNAcentral
CAGAGUUGACAAACUCCCAACCCAUGUGAACAGUACCUGAACUGUUGCUUCGGCGGGAUGCCCGGCCUCGUUGCCCGGAGCAGGCGCCCGCCGGAGGAAUCUUAAACUCUUGUUUUAUUUGGAAUCUUCUGAGUAGUUUAUAAAUAAGUA